GACUAUGGACCUCUGCAAAUCCUGAGUACUGCUUGGCUUCUGUUGAGGCAGUGACCAGGACAUGGGGAAAUAAUGGAAAGUUUCUCAAGGAGGAUACACCAAGUCCAGAUGAUCUGCUGUCAGUCUGUCAAGUCUGCUUGUGCGCUGUACUCCCUCCCCUCAUGGCUACAAAAAGAGGCUGCUUGUUAUAAGAAAGGCCGGGCACUCCUGUGGAUGUGAAGAGGAUCCUGUUGGGGAAGCCCUUUCUGCAGAUCCUGAUGCCUUCCAGCACACCAUUACAGCGCAGCUGGUGCAUCACCAGAGGGUUCUCCAUGGCCCCAGGAGUCUUGGUCUCAUUGGGGAUGAUGCAACGUACAA
Archocentrus centrarchus (flier cichlid) is the source of this 357-nucleotide long non-coding RNA. RefSeq lists it as uncharacterized. Lineage: Eukaryota; Metazoa; Chordata; Actinopteri; Cichliformes; Cichlidae. The transcript is spliced from 3 exons. The record is from RefSeq and is a predicted model, not a curated record.